RNAcentral lists this ribosomal RNA (301 nucleotides) under uncultured bacterium. Its description in RNAcentral is "partial 16S ribosomal RNA". It matches the Rfam family "Bacterial small subunit ribosomal RNA", at positions 509 to 809 of the family's 1533-position model. The record is from RNAcentral.
CAGUCGCCACGGGAAUACGGAGGGUGCAAGCGUUAAUCGGAAUUACUGGGCGUAAAGCGCACGCAGGCGGUUUGUUAAGUCAGAUGUGAAAUCCCCGAGCUUAACUUGGGAACUGCAUUUGAAACUGGCAAGCUAGAGUCUUGUAGAGGGGGGUAGAAUUCCAGGUGUAGCGGUGAAAUGCGUAGAUAUGUGGAGGAAUACCGAUGGCGAAGGCAGCCCCCAGGGAUAACACUGACGCUCAUGCACGAAAGCGUGGGGAGCAAACAGGAUUAGAUACCCGUGUAGUCCCUGUCUCUUAUAA